Regulatory RNA element from Saccharomonospora marina, 41 nucleotides. It matches the Rfam family "L31-Actinobacteria ribosomal protein leader". NCBI's taxonomy places the organism in Bacteria, Bacillati, Actinomycetota, Actinomycetes, Pseudonocardiales, Pseudonocardiaceae. The record is from Rfam.
CCGGCACCGGUUCACCUUCCCGCGUGGAGGACCCGGCGGCC